GGAAGUAAAGGUCGUAACAAGGGUCUCCGUUGGUGAACCAGCGGAGGGAUCAUUACCGAGUUUACAACUCCCAAACCCAAUGUGAACGUUACCAAACUGUUGCCUCGGCGGGGUCACGCCCCGGGUGCGUCGCAGCCCCGGAACCAGGCGCCCGCCGGAGGAACCAACCAAACUCUUUCUGUAGUCCCCUCGCGGACGUUAUUUCUUACAGCUCUGAGCAAAAAUUCAAAAUGAAUCAAAACUUUCAACAACGGAUCUCUUGGUUCUG
This 268-nucleotide unclassified non-coding RNA is filed under the name plant metagenome. Its description in RNAcentral is "partial contains small subunit ribosomal RNA, internal transcribed spacer 1, and 5.8S ribosomal RNA". The stretch from base 1 to 55 matches the Rfam family "Eukaryotic small subunit ribosomal RNA", at positions 1778 to 1831 of the family's 1831-position model. The record is from RNAcentral.